AACUGCCUGUGAGAAAAGCUGGAACGUCAUCUCAGCAGCUUUGAUGAAAAAAAUGAAUGCACCUCUAACCUCUACAGGCAGAUCAUAGAUUCCAUUUUCCAGCUGCAUAAUGAAAACAGAAUUCUCAGAGAAUACCAGAGACUUCCCCGACUUGCCUGAAUCAAAUUUCCAUAGGUUUCUCCAAAAGGUGAACCUGCCUGCAAUGCCCAGGAAGCCUGCCAGAUGCACAAGUCAAAACUGAUCUAGAGAAGUAUGCUGUGCUCCCUGAGAAGUGCGGAGCCACUGGAACCACAACCAGCUUCAGACAGGAGCCAAUGAGGCCAUCAAAACCCUCAACAGAGGCAUCUGUGACAGCAUGGCUCUGGAGAGAUGGCCACAGGAACCAUGGCAGUGGACCAGGUUGCUGGGAGAAGGCAAAAGGGGAGACACCCAAGCUGAGAAGGGGCUAAGCAUCAGCCCCUGAGACCACCAACAGCAGGCCUGAGACCCAUACAGGAAACCAGACACCCUGGAUGAAAUUUCUUUCAAGCAAGGCCCGUGGUCCCUGACAGAGCACCAGAUUUUUCCCACUAAAACCUUUCGCAUCUGCCCUGGUUCCAUCUUAGUUGGAACUCUUUGUUCUCA
Pongo abelii (Sumatran orangutan) is the source of this 624-nucleotide long non-coding RNA. The record is from Ensembl. Lineage: Eukaryota; Metazoa; Chordata; Mammalia; Primates; Hominidae.